CCUACGGGAGGCAGCAGUGGGGAAUUUUGGACAAUGGGCGCAAGCCUGAUCCAGCCAUGCCGCGUGCAGGAUGAAGGCCUUCGGGUUGUAAACUGCUUUUGUACGGAACGAAAAGACUCUGGUUAAUACCUGGGGUCCAUGACGGUACCGUAAGAAUAAGCACCGGCUAACUACGUGCCAGCAGCCGCGGUAAUACGUAGGGUGCGAGCGUUAAUCGGAAUUACUGGGCGUAAAGCGUGCGCAGGCGGUUAUAUAAGACAGAUGUGAAAUCCCCGGGCUCAACCUGGGAACUGCAUUUGUGACUGUAUAGCUAGAGUACGGCAGAGGGGGAUGGAAUUCCGCGUGUAGCAGUGAAAUGCGUAGAUAUGCGGAGGAACACCGAUGGCGAAGGCAAUCCCCUGGGCCUGUACUGACGCUCAUGCACGAAAGCGUGGGGAGCAAACAGGAUUAGAUACCCUGGUAGUCCACGCCCUAAACGAUGUCAACUGGUUGUUGGGUCUUCACUGACUCAGUAACGAAGCUAACGCGUGAAGUUGACCGCCUGGGGAGGUACGGCCGCGAGUAGAACGUACGAAGAAGUAGACGCGUGAGACGUACCGACGGACGACGACGAGGGAGGAGG
This 622-nucleotide ribosomal RNA is filed under the name uncultured bacterium. Its description in RNAcentral is "bacterial SSU rRNA". The stretch from base 1 to 542 matches the Rfam family "Bacterial small subunit ribosomal RNA", at positions 338 to 873 of the family's 1533-position model. The record is from RNAcentral.